AUGAACGUUGGCGGCGUGGAUUAGGCAUGCAAGUCGCGCGAGAACCCCGCAAGGGGGGACAGCGGCGAAAGGGACAGUAAUGUGUAGAUUAUCUGCCCUCAGGUCCGGGAUAGCUGCGGGAAACUGCAGGUAAUACCGGAUAACAUCUCCGGAUCAAAGGUGUGAUUCCGCCUGAGGAUGAGUCUGCAUCCUAUUAGCUAGUUGGUGGGGUAAUGGCCUACCAAGGCAUUGAUGGGUAGCAGGUGUGAGAGCACGACCUGCGUCAUUGGGACUGAGACACUGCCCAGACACCUACGGGUGGCUGCAGUCGAGAAUCUUCGGCAAUGGGCGCAAGCCUGACCGAGCGACGCCGCGUGUGGGAUGAAGGCCUUCGGGUUGUAAACCACUGUCAGAGGGGAUGAAAUGCAGGUGGGUUCUCCCAUCUGUUUGACAUAGCCUCAGAGGAAGGACGGGCUAAGUUCGUG
This 464-nucleotide ribosomal RNA is filed under the name uncultured bacterium. Its description in RNAcentral is "partial 16S ribosomal RNA". It matches the Rfam family "Bacterial small subunit ribosomal RNA", at positions 29 to 507 of the family's 1533-position model. The record is from RNAcentral.